UACGUAUGUCGCAAGCGUUAUCCGGAAUUAUUGGGCAUAAAGGGCAUCUAGGCGGCCCUGUAAGUCUAGGGUGAAAACCUGCGGCUCAACCGCAGGCCUGCCCCGGAAACUACAGGGCUAGAGUAUCGGAGAGGUGGACGGAACUGCACGAGUAGAGGUGAAAUUCGUAGAUAUGUGCAGGAAUGCCGAUGAUGAAGAUAGUUCACUGGACGGUAACUGACGCUGAAGUGCGAAAGCUAGGGGAGCAAACAGG
RNAcentral lists this ribosomal RNA (253 nucleotides) under uncultured bacterium. Its description in RNAcentral is "partial 16S ribosomal RNA". It matches the Rfam family "Bacterial small subunit ribosomal RNA", at positions 524 to 776 of the family's 1533-position model. RNAcentral also lists the same sequence under 1 other name. The record is from RNAcentral.